This is an RNA transcript of Hylaeus anthracinus, 3259 nucleotides long. It is a transcript of the gene named origin recognition complex subunit 2, with no coding region annotated. The record is from RefSeq and is a predicted model, not a curated record. The transcript has 13 exons. Lineage: Eukaryota; Metazoa; Arthropoda; Insecta; Hymenoptera; Colletidae.
CUCUUUGUAAACAGUUCGAAAACCGUCGAUUUACAUGGUAUCACAUGACAUUUAGCAUCAGUAGUUGUGACCGGUUGUAACAUCGUAGUUUUGGCAUAAAAUGGUGUUUACACACAACAUUCAACACCUGACUUUAACAUACUUGUUGAUUCUAUGUAACUAAAAGCGCCUACUUUAUUUUGGAUUUUCGUUGCAUUGUUUUAUAAAUAUUUAUAAUAUGUCCGCUACCGAGAACUUGCGACGAUCUACUCGAAUACAAAUUCGCAUUAAAGAAGGGAAACAUAAAAAAUAUACGGAGUUAGAUGAAGGGAAUGAACCUACCCUCCAGACGCUUAUAACGAAAGAAGAAUUAGAAAAUAUUGAAGUGAUUGCACAAAAACCAGUUGAAUUGUUUUCUAACAAUGAUGUCAGUGGUGCAACAUUAUAUGGAUUCCAAACUCCUAGUAAAAAAAAUGCUAUGUCGGAAAAGGCAAAUUUAUGUCGUACACCAGUUACUUCAAAAAAAGGAAAAGAACUUAUACCAAUAGUUUCUCUUGAAAGGCUAAAUGAGGAUACAAGGGGAUCAUUAAAAACAAAUAAUAAAAAUUCUCAUGCAAAAGCUCCAGUUACUCGAAGAAGAUAUAUGCCUGACCUAACUUCUAGUGAAAGUGAAAGCGUUUCUGAGCCUAGCGAUUUUGUACCAUCUGAUGAGGAUACAGAUGAUGAGAAUAGUGGAAGCCUAAGUUCUGAUAAUAGUAAUGAUGAAAUUAAACCAAAAGGUGCAAAACAGAAAUUUAUGUUUCACUCAAAUUUAUUGAGCACACCGAAAAGAACAUGUAGCAAAAAUAAGCCUGCAGUUAUUCAUAAAGAUUUUCAUAUAAAAAGUGAUGAAUAUUUCGAAACUCAAUCAGAAAAAGUAAUUACAUCUGAUCGAACGUUAGAGCGCCUACAUAAUUCUCGGUUAACAAAGAAAAAGCUAGAAGAGUUAUUAGCAAGUCAAAAUGAUGUAUCUAUGCAACAUAAGAAAAAUAUUUACUCGUUAACUGAAAGCUAUGCUACAUUAUUUCCUAUGUGGUACUUUAUCAUGGAACAAGGGUAUACAGUAUUGCUAUAUGGUUUAGGAUCGAAAAGAUGUUUAAUUAAUAAUUUUCAUAAAGGUAUAUCUUAUCAUCCAUCAUUAAUAGUGAAUGGAUUCUUUCCCAGUCUGACUGUGAAAGAUAUAUUGGAUGGUAUAAUUAAUGAUUUAUUGGAGUUAAGUUGUCCCGCUAAUACGAGCGAAUGUAUAGAUCUUAUAGAAAGAAAAAUGAAGAAAAAUCCGAAAGAUAGGCUGUACCUAUUAAUACAUAACAUAGAUGGUAUAAUGUUACGAUCAAAUAAAGCUCAAGAUAUACUCUCUUGUCUUGCAAGCAUACCAAAUGUUUGUGUCUUGGCGUCAGUCGAUCAUGUCAAUACACCGUUGUUAUGGGAUCACAUAAAACGUUCAAAAUAUAAUUUCUUUUGGUGGGACACAACCACAUUUAUGUCUUACCAAGAAGAAACAUCUUACGAAAGUUCGCUCUUAGUGCAACAAAGUGGUGCACUUGCUUUGUCAUCUCUUCAUAACGUUUUCCUUUCUUUAACUUCGAAUGCUAAAUCAGUCUACAUACUUCUUGCAAAAUAUCAACUUAGCAACAGCAGCAAUGCUAAUUUUACUGGAAUGGCAUUCAAAGAUCUUUAUCGAGCCGCACGCGAAGGAUUUCUUGUAAGUUCAGAUUUAGCAUUGAGAGCACAAUUGACUGAAUUUAUCGAUCACAAAUUAGUGAAGGUAAAACGUAACAUCGAUAGCGUGGAACAUCUUGUAAUUCCUUUAACCAACGGACUUUUGAAACAAUUUCUCGAAGAGCACGAGCCGUGAUAGUUGUAUAUAUUAAGAUAAGGUAAUCUAUGAGUACAUCUGUGGUAGAGCGGUUGUUACUUUCGCACACUUCUUUCGAUGUCCUUUAUUUGAGCUGUGCUCAGGCCCCGUUGCCUGAACAAAACGAGCUAUGUCGACGAGUACUCGUGAAAGCUCGUAAACUACGGAGCCAGCACUUUGCUCGCUUUCAGGCGUGUCGGCGUUGCUGGUUUGCAUUUACCAGGGAACGUAAGUAUCGGAAGAUUCAUCGGUGAAUAUAUUUUUAUACUUCUAAAUCGAGAGCACGGCACGAGUGUACGCGGACGUCCGAGUCGUUCGCCGAUGAAGCGUUUCGGCGGUGUGUUAACGUAUGGCAGCAUAGUUCAUAUAAUUUUGAAGCAGUAUGCCAGAAAACACGCAUUCCCGAGCAGGAGUUUCCUGUAGGAGGGAGCCUUGGGUACCCGGCGGUGAACCAUCGGUUCUAGCACGGACACGAGGUCGCGGCGGGACACGAGUCCCCCCGAAGCGUUGCGCGAGAACGGCCGAACCGUGACGAAAGCGCACGAGGCCGCGACUACGGGGGUGGGGACUCGCUGACGCUCAGUAGCUUCGCUCAGUCGAGCCAGCGCCGUGAUCGGAGUUGGAAUAGUGACUGGGCCGGACUGGUGUCCCGAGCAGGCGUACAAGCUCCCUGCGGUUCUAGUCGUUCUUCAAUCACGCGCGCCACGAAUCAAUUUGCUCGGCUGGCGAGGUCGUGCAUUCGAAUACGGUGUCGCUUCUUCUCCCGUUAACGCUGGUACGCCUCUGCUAUAACCGUUCGAGCACGUUCGUCGAUUCUCGGUUCCGUCGUUGCCGUGUUCGACCGUCGCCCCGUAAUUGACUGUCGCGUACACCUAUUCUUUUCGCGAGGCCGACACGGACCCAACGGGAGUGAAAAUGCGGUAGUGACAGUGUGAUUGCAUCGAAGACAGGGGUAAGAAGGGAAUCCCUUUUGGGUACGGUUUUGUAGGCGCGAGGACGCCACGAGUUUACUCGAGGAGAAUCGAAGUGAACGGGGAAAAAAGAUAUCAGGGAGAGAGGCUCCUCGAAGCCAGGCCCCGGAAGUUAUGACGAGAUCGUGUGUUCGAGGACGAGGAAUAUACGUGCAUGUGUCCAGUGGGAUAUAGUGCCGGCGAUAAAGCAUUCUUUCCAGAUUUGGAUACCUCGCUCUCGACACCUACGGGACCUGGAUUAUCUCAUGUCAGGAUGGCGCUGGCGCGAAGAACGAGUCCUUGUAUCUCGUAAUCUCUAUCGAGCCGAAAUUUUGGAAGUUUGAUAUAUGUACGAAAGAAUGUUUGCGUACCAAAACUUGAUCGCUUAUAAGGAAGACGUACAGGAACGAAAUGUCGCAAUUCGACCGAAAUAUUC